RNAcentral lists this ribosomal RNA (409 nucleotides) under Tsukamurella tyrosinosolvens. RNAcentral's name for it is "bacterial LSU rRNA". It matches the Rfam family "Bacterial large subunit ribosomal RNA", at positions 831 to 1234 of the family's 2925-position model. Lineage: Bacteria; Bacillati; Actinomycetota; Actinomycetes; Mycobacteriales; Tsukamurellaceae. The record is from RNAcentral.
AAUCAAACUCCGUGAUAGCUGGUUCUCCCCGAAAUGCAUUUAGGUGCAGCGUCACGUGUUUCUUGCCGGAGGUAGAGCUACUGGAUGGCCGAUGGGCCCUCACAGGUUACUGACGUCAGCCAAACUCCGAAUGCCGGUAAGUGAGAACGUGGCAGUGAGACUGCGGGGGAUAAGCUUCGUAGUCGAGAGGGAAACAGCCCAGAUCGCCGGCUAAGGCCCCUAAGCGUGUACUAAGUGGAAAAGGAUGUCCGGUCGCGAAGACAACCAGGAGGUUGGCUUAGAAGCAGCCACCCUUGAAAGAGUGCGUAAUAGCUCACUGGUCUAGUGGCUGGGCGCCGACAAUGUAGCGGGGCUCAAGUACACCGCCGAAGCCGCGGCACUCACAGUUUUGACUGUGGGUGGGUAGGGG